Molecule: ribosomal RNA, 467 nt
Filed under: uncultured Diaphorobacter sp.
Lineage: Bacteria; Pseudomonadati; Pseudomonadota; Betaproteobacteria; Burkholderiales; Comamonadaceae
Description: bacterial SSU rRNA
Rfam family: Bacterial small subunit ribosomal RNA
Source: RNAcentral
UUCCUACGGGGGGCAGCAGUGGGGAAUUUUGGACAAUGGGCGCAAGCCUGAUCCAGCCAUGCCGCGUGCAGGAAGAAGGCCCUCGGGUUGUAAACUGCUUUUGUACGGAACGAAAAAGCUCUGGCUAAUACCUGGAGCUGAUGACGGUACCGUAAGAAUAAGCACCGGCUAACUACGUGCCAGCAGCCGCGGUAAUACGUAGGGUGCGAGCGUUAAUCGGAAUUACUGGGCGUAAAGCGUGCGCAGGCGGUUUUGUAAGACAGGGGUGAAAUCCCCGGGCUCAACCUGGGAACUGCCUUUGUGACUGCAAGGCUGGAGUGCGGCAGAGGGGGAUGGAAUUCCGCGUGUAGCAGUGAAAUGCGUAGAUAUGCGGAGGAACACCGAUGGCGAAGGCAAUCCCCUGGGCCUGCACUGACGCUCAUGCACGAAAGCGUGGGGAGCAAACAGGAUUAGAUACCCGAGUAGUC